This 253-nucleotide ribosomal RNA is filed under the name uncultured bacterium. RNAcentral's name for it is "partial 16S ribosomal RNA". It matches the Rfam family "Bacterial small subunit ribosomal RNA", at positions 524 to 776 of the family's 1533-position model. The record is from RNAcentral.
UACGCAGGGUGCGAGCGUUAAUCGGAAUUACUGGGCGUAAAGCGUGCGCAGGCGGCGCGUUAAGACAGGUGUGAAAGCCCCGAGCUUAACUUGGGAAUUGCGCUUGUGACUGGCGAGCUGGAGUGUGGCAGAGGGAGGUGGAAUUCCACGUGUAGCAGUGAAAUGCGUAGAGAUGUGGAGGAACACCGAUGGCGAAGGCAGCCUCCUGGGCCAGCACUGACGCUCAUGCACGAAAGCGUGGGGAGCAAACAGG